Molecule: ribosomal RNA, 379 nt
Filed under: uncultured eukaryote
Lineage: Eukaryota
Description: partial 18S ribosomal RNA
Rfam family: Eukaryotic small subunit ribosomal RNA
Source: RNAcentral
CAAUAGCGUAUAUUUAAGUUGUUGCAGUUAAAAAGCUCGUAGUUGGAUUUCUGCUGAGAACGACCGGUCCGCCCUCUGGGUGUGUAUCUGGCUCUUUCUUGGCAUCUUCUUGGGGAACGUUACUGCACUUGACUGUGUGGUGCGGAGCCCAGGACCUUUACUUUGAGGAAAUUAGAGUGUUUCAAGCAGGCAUUUGCCUUGAAUACACUAGCAUGGAAUAAUAAGAUAGGACCUCGUCCCUACCUUGUUGGUUCGUAUGGAUGAGGUAAUGAUUAAUAGGGAUAGUCGGGGGCAUUCGUACUUAACUGUCAGAGGUGAAAUUCUUGGAUUUGUUAAAGACGGACUACUGCGAANGNAUUUGCNAAGGAUGUUUNCAUUG